This is a non-coding RNA of Salmo salar (Atlantic salmon), 54 nucleotides long. Lineage: Eukaryota; Metazoa; Chordata; Actinopteri; Salmoniformes; Salmonidae. The record is from Rfam.
UACACUCACUACUGUAAGUCACUCUGGAUAAGAGCGUCUGCUAAAUGACUAAAA